UGCACUCUCUUCAGUUAUGCUCACGAAUCCAAAGAGAGAAGUGCACUUGGAAUGAUGGGCUGGAUUUGGAGAAAGGCAUGGUUUCCAUAGUCUCAUGCUGCUCUCAGGAGAGAAAAAGACACACGAGAUGAACACAGAAGGGAGAAGGUCUUGUGACGAUGGAGUCAAAGAGUGGAGGGAAGGGGCUAUAAGCCAAGGAACCCCAAGGAUUGCUGGAGCUGUCAGAAGUGAGGAGAAGAGGAAGGAUUCUUCCUUAGAGCCUUCAAAGGGAACAUGGCCCUGCUGACACCUUGAUUUCAGACUUAUAGCCUCCAGAACUAUGACAGAGUAAACCUCUGUUGUUUUAAGCCACCAAGUUUGUGACAAUUUGCUCUGACAUCCCCUUGUAUAGGAAACAAAUAUAUACAAUCUUCUGUAAAAUAAAAACUAUCUUCAACAUUGCUCA
Leopardus geoffroyi (Geoffroy's cat) is the source of this 445-nucleotide long non-coding RNA. RefSeq lists it as uncharacterized. NCBI's taxonomy places the organism in Eukaryota, Metazoa, Chordata, Mammalia, Carnivora, Felidae. The record is from RefSeq and is a predicted model, not a curated record. The transcript has 2 exons.